AUACGGGAGGCAGCAGUGGGGAAUCUUGCGCAAUGGUCGAGAGACUGACGCAGCGACGCCGCGUGUGGGAGGACGCCUUUCGGGGUGUAAACCACUGUUGCCCGGGACGAAUCGGCUUAUUCGUAAGCCUUGACGGUACCGGGUGAGGAAGCACCGGCUAACUCCGUGCCAGCAGCCGCGGUAAUACGGAGGGUGCGAGCGUUGUCCGGAAUCAUUGGGCGUAAAGGGCGCGUAGGCGGCCACUUCAAGCGUGCGGUGAAAGUCGGGGGCUCAACCCCUGAUCGGCCGUGCGAACUGGGGGGCUGGAGCACUGUAGAGGCAGGCGGAAUUCCGGGUGUAGCGGUGGAAUGCGUAGAGAUCCGGAAGAACACCGGUGGCGAAGGCGGCCUGCUGGGCAGUUAGCUGACGCUGAGGCGCGACAGCGUGGGGAGCAAACAGGAUUAGAUACCCGAGUAG
Molecule: ribosomal RNA, 456 nt
Filed under: uncultured bacterium
Lineage: Bacteria
Description: bacterial SSU rRNA
Rfam family: Bacterial small subunit ribosomal RNA
Source: RNAcentral